Cyprinodon tularosa is the source of this 690-nucleotide long non-coding RNA. RefSeq lists it as uncharacterized. The transcript has 3 exons. NCBI's taxonomy places the organism in Eukaryota, Metazoa, Chordata, Actinopteri, Cyprinodontiformes, Cyprinodontidae. The record is from RefSeq and is a predicted model, not a curated record.
GAGGAGGAGACUGCUGAGCUGUGCAGUGUGGUAGUCUGACAGUUAUAGUUCGGAUACAAACUUAAAACAAACAGUUUGCAGUUAAAAUUACCGUUUAUCAUCCACAGUUCAAGCUGGAAAUAGUUGAGUUGAAGUGCCCCACCUGUCCGGACUGAGAGCCAUCAUAUUGUUGUCCCAAACAGGUUGGAGUGAGAUCGGUCAGGUUUUUUUCUUUAUGCUGGAUUAUUCCUGAGGUGGAUUCCUCCGGUGAUUGAUGGCGAGCCUUCCCACCUGGACUUAGAGAAAGAACUGGACUCAUUCUUUUCCAUUUGGAGUCCUGCUGCACCCUGCGGUGUGGUAGGCCUGUUUCACUCACAUCUUCACGCACAGUUGGUUAUGCACGGGACCAUUGACUUACAUUUUUUCACUUUUAUUGUUUCAUUCUGGGAUUUAAGACCUUAUUUUUUUUACAAGAUUUAUUUCGGACAUUAGAACAGACCACUGUGGUGGACAUUCUCCUCAGGUGAAUGAUGAUGAGUCAGACCUGAAUUGGAACUGAAUUUAAUCUGAAUUGUUUAUUACAAAUUUGAAUUCAUAUUAAGAGGGUGCACCCAAGAUAUUUAGAACUGAGAAUUAGAACUUGGCCAAGUAUUGCUAUUAUUUUAUUUCAUUGUUGAUUUUAUUGUGUGUAUUUUAUUUUCAUGAUUUUGU